RNAcentral lists this ribosomal RNA (460 nucleotides) under uncultured bacterium. RNAcentral describes it as "partial 16S ribosomal RNA". It matches the Rfam family "Bacterial small subunit ribosomal RNA", at positions 338 to 795 of the family's 1533-position model. The record is from RNAcentral.
CCUACGGGAGGCAGCAGUGAGGAAUAUUGGUCAAUGGGCGAGAGUCUGAACCAGCCAAGUAGCGUGAAGGAUGACUGCCCUAUGGGUUGUAAACUUCUUUUAUCUGGGAAUAAAAUGUUCCCCGUGUGGGCUUUUGUAUGUCCCAUAUGAAUAAGGAUCGGCUAACUCCUUGCCAGCGGCCGCGGUAAUACGGAGGAUCCGAGCGUUAUCCGGAUUUAUUGGGUUUAAAGGGGUCGGCGGUGGGUUUUUAAGUCCGUUGUGAAAGUUGGGGGCUUAACCGUCAAACUGCAGUUGAAACUGGCAGUCUUGAGUAUGGUAGAGGUGGGCGGAAUGCGUGGUGUAGCGGUGAAAUGCUUAGAUAUCACGAAGAACCCCGAUUGCGAAGGCAGUUCACUGGACUGCAACUGACACUGAGGCUCGAAAGUGUGGGUAUCAAACAGGAUUAGAUACCCGGGUAGUC